Molecule: ribosomal RNA, 42 nt
Filed under: Bossiaea linophylla
Lineage: Eukaryota; Viridiplantae; Streptophyta; Magnoliopsida; Fabales; Fabaceae
Description: partial 26S ribosomal RNA
Source: RNAcentral
GAGACCUUCAGGUCAGGCGUGGCUACCCGCUGAAUUUAAGCA